GAUGAACGCUGGCGGCGUGCCUAAUACAUGCAAGUCGAGCGAACAGACGAGGAGCUUGCUCCUCUGACGUUAGCGGCGGACGGGUGAGUAACACGUGGAUAACCUACCUAUAAGACUGGGAUAACUUCGGGAAACCGGCGCUAAUACCGGAUAAUAUAUUGAACCGCAUGGUUCAAUAGUGAAAGACGGUUUUGCUGUCACUUAUAGAUGGAUCCGCGCCGCAUUAGCUAGUUGGUAAGGUAACGGCUUACCAAGGCAACGAUGCGUAGCCGACCUGAGAGGGUGAUCGGCCACACUGGAAGUGAGACACGGUCCAGACUCCUACGGGAGGCAGCAGUAGGGAAUCUUCCGCAAUGGGCGAAAGCCUGACGGAGCAACGCCGCGUGAGUGAUGAAGGUCUUCGGAUCGUAAAACUCUGUUAUUAGGGAAGAACAAAUGUGUAAGUAACUAUGCACGUCUUGACGGUACCUAAUCAGAAAGCCACGGCUAACUACGUG
RNAcentral lists this ribosomal RNA (497 nucleotides) under uncultured bacterium. RNAcentral describes it as "partial 16S ribosomal RNA". It matches the Rfam family "Bacterial small subunit ribosomal RNA", at positions 28 to 507 of the family's 1533-position model. The record is from RNAcentral.